RNAcentral lists this microRNA precursor (113 nucleotides) under Pelobates cultripes (western spadefoot toad). The record is from RNAcentral. Lineage: Eukaryota; Metazoa; Chordata; Amphibia; Anura; Pelobatidae.
GUGACAGAGUUAGGGAGGGAGUGACUAGUGACAGAGGGAGGGAGAUGGUGACUGUCACUAGUCACCCCAUCCCUCCCUCUGUCACUAGUCACUCCCUCCCUAACUCUGUCACU